RNAcentral lists this transfer RNA (76 nucleotides) under Faecalibacterium prausnitzii. Its description in RNAcentral is "tRNA-Met". It matches the Rfam family "tRNA". Rfam says of the family: Transfer RNA (tRNA) molecules are approximately 80 nucleotides in length. The record is from RNAcentral. RNAcentral also lists the same sequence under 21 other names. Lineage: Bacteria; Bacillati; Bacillota; Clostridia; Eubacteriales; Oscillospiraceae.
CGCGGGGUAGAGCAGAUGGUAGCUCGUCGGGCUCAUAACCCGGAGGUCGCAGGUUCAAGUCCUGUCCCCGCAACCA